RNAcentral lists this ribosomal RNA (279 nucleotides) under uncultured bacterium. RNAcentral describes it as "partial 16S ribosomal RNA". It matches the Rfam family "Bacterial small subunit ribosomal RNA", at positions 506 to 784 of the family's 1533-position model. The record is from RNAcentral.
UGCCAGCCGCCGCGGUAAUACGGAGGGUGCGAGCGUUGUUCGGAAUCACUGGGCAUAAAGCGCGCGUAGGCGGCAGCAUCAGUCAGCUGUGAAAUCCCUCGGCUCAACCGAGGAACUGCAGCUGAAACUGUGUUGCUAGAGUGUGGGAGGGGAGAACGGAAUUCCUGGUGGAGCGGUGAAAUGCGUAGAUAUCAGGAGGAACGCCGGAGGCGAAAGCGGUUCUCUGGCCCACAACUGACGCUCAGGGACGAAAGCGUAGGUAGCGAAUCGGAUUAGAUA